CGUGCGGGAUGAAGGCCUUCGGGUUGUAAACCGCUUUCAGCAGGGAAGAAGCGAAAGUGACGGUACCUGCAGAAGAAGCACCGGCUAACUAUGUGCCAGCAGCCGCGGUAAUACAUAGGGUGCAAGCGUUGUCCGGAAUUAUUGGGCGUAAAGAGCUCGUAGGUGGUUCGUCACGUCGGAUGUGAAAAUCUGGGGCUUAACCCCAGACCUGCAUUCGAUACGGGCGAGCUAGAGUGUGGUAGGGGAGACUGGAAUUCCUGGUGUAGCGGUGGAAUGCGCAGAUAUCAGGAGGAACACCAAUGGCGAAGGCAGGUCUCUGGGCCAUUACUGACACUGAGGAGCGAAAGCGUGGGGAGCGAACAGGAUUAGAUACCCUGGUAGUCCACGCCGUAAACGGUGGGCACUAGUUGUGGGAACCUUCCACGGUUUCUGCGGCGCAGCUAACGCAUUAAGUGCCCCGCCUGGGGAGUACGAUCGCAAGAUUAAAACUCAAAGGAAUUGACGGGGCCCCGCACAAGCAGCGGAGCAUGCGGCUUAAUUCGACGCAACGCGAAGAACCUUACCAAGGCUUGACAUAUACAGAAAUAUGGCAGAGAUGUCAUAGCCGCAAGGUCUGUAUACAGGGUGGUGCAUGGUUGUCGUCAGCUCGUGUCGCGAGAUGUUGGGGUUAAGU
This 673-nucleotide ribosomal RNA is filed under the name uncultured Actinomycetales bacterium. RNAcentral's name for it is "bacterial SSU rRNA". It matches the Rfam family "Bacterial small subunit ribosomal RNA", at positions 400 to 1085 of the family's 1533-position model. Lineage: Bacteria; Bacillati; Actinomycetota; Actinomycetes; Actinomycetales. The record is from RNAcentral.